This is a long non-coding RNA of Mus musculus (house mouse), 676 nucleotides long. RefSeq annotates it as predicted gene, 39243. The transcript has 3 exons. Lineage: Eukaryota; Metazoa; Chordata; Mammalia; Rodentia; Muridae. The record is from RefSeq and is a predicted model, not a curated record.
UGAAACGCAAGCACAAACACAAUGGUUUUAUUGUAGGAGGCUUCUGCAGCAAAGAAGAAAGAAAACAACUCAGUUAGCAAAAGAGGGGAAGGAAGGUAAAAGCCUACCAAAGGCAAGCUGCCUAAGGAAAGAGUGUUUUCUUUGUAUGCAUUAACAUAUGCUCAAAGAUCAUUUCCCUAGGAGGUGUCUGUCACUGCCCACUCUGCUUCCUGUUUAUGGUUUGCUGCAGGAGAAGCUUUUAAAUCCAUUUGCCGAACCCCUGGGAAUUGCAAGGGGGAAGAAGGUGUUGCCCCUGAAGAAGAUGCACAGCUUCAAAGUCAAGGGAACCAACAGAGUCCAGAGGAGGGAGUUGGAUACCUUGGAACGCUAGUUAUUGGCAGUUGUGAGUCUGUAGGCGGUAAGAACCAACCCCAGGCUACUGUGGAAGGGUGGCAAGUGCUCUUCAUUACAAAGCUGUCUUCUCCAGACUGACAUCAUGCCAUUGGACCCCACAAUCAGCUCAAAUCAUUGAGGACAACCAACCCAAAUGUGGAGAAAAAACCAAACAAACCAGGAUUCUAAACAAUGCUAUCUGAAGGAAACAGAAAAGUAGCCUACAGCUUGCAGCUCAUUUCAAGGCCUGGGUGGACUGUUUCUGCUGCCAAGUUCUUCCCACUAUUGAAGUGACUGCUUAUCC